ACUGGGGACAGCAAAGCACUCUGCCCGGGCUGCCAAGCGCCCACUAGCAGAGGCCACCAUGGCUCCGGAGCAGCAGAACCCAGCCAGACAGGCCAGUGAUCUUUGAGGGGGUCUGAGUUCCACUGGAAUAUUCCUGAAUGAAUGGAUGAUACACCUCUGUCCUUCUCUUACACGUGUAUUAGGUGGUCCACUUGGUUGGUCAUUUCCUUACUCCAUGUAUUGUGAGUCCUUUGCCAUUAAGACUGAGCUAAACUCCUUAAGAAGGGCUUCUGGAUCUCUCUCCCAAGGGAACCCAGCAUCCUGAUAUUAGCUUAAAGCAGGAAUAAGAAUAGUUUUUCCUUAAAAUAGAGCUGAAGUCUAAAAUUGGACCAGGUUUCCAAUAGCCUGUUGUCCAAUAAAGAAGUUUGUUUUCAAGGAAUAGCUUUUGUGACUUAACAUUGCUAAGGUAGAUUUACUGGGAAGAAAAACUGAAGAAAAAUUUAGGAGAUAUAGUAUCUUUAAGACAGAAAAACACUGGGUAGAAAAGAAAGUGAUGAAAAGAAUGUUAUGCUGAGCCAAGUCAGCCAUUUAAUGACAAAAUUCUUCUUGUUUAAAUUGGAAACUAUUUGGGCCAAUUAAUGUAGUCUUAAAGCAUAUUCUUAAUUUCUGGAGGCUUUGUUACAAGAAAGCCAAAAUAAUCAGGAUUUACUGAUAAGUUUCAGAGCCCUUUUCCUGUUCCAAAAUGGCUUGGGGUUCAGAAAGAUGAAUCAUGUAAUUUCAUAAGAAUUCCUUAUAAUGUAGUAUGAAAUUAUGCUCCCAUGCUCUGAAGUGUUUCUAAAUAGCUCUGGCCACAUCUUGGAAAUUCACUGUCUGAGAAUGUAUAAUUUAAGAAAUCGUAACAAGACGGCAGAAUUUUGUUCAGAAGGAUUUUUAGGGAGUUCAUCUCCACUCACUUGAAAGCAGUUGAAGUUCUUUUCUAAGUCAGCUUUCAUCUCCUGUCACACUUUCCUGCCAAGCCACAAUUUUCAGAGCUUUCAGGAUGGGUUCUUCCAACGUGGGAUGGUGGUCUGUAACAUGGGGAAGGAGUUGAUCCAUUUAACCCUUUCCUCUCAUGUGAUGCUGUGAAUGUGUACUUCUUUCAGAGCUUUUCCAGUCCACAGAAGUUGCAUGCAAAUGACUAUAUGAUAAAUGGAAUGCUGCUUUAACUCUUUAAGAUAAAUGCUGAAUGGACCACAAAUGAUACAUGGAACAAGAAACUGUACUUUAAUGGACAGUAAACACAAUGAAGAGAUUACCAGGUGUGUAGAUGCCAUGAUUACGUGAGCAUUAGAAACACAGCUUUUGAUUGCUUUCCUCAAGUUACUUCUUAAAACUCUGGGUGUUGGUGAGGACAGGUGUUAAUAUGGCAAAGAAUGGUUUCAAAUCAUCAUUCCAGGAAAAUAAGGAAGUAGGAUUGAGACUUGGUAAGUAUGAUGCUCCAAAGUGAGAUGACUUUAGCACCAUUUGAUUGUCCCUGGACCCUGAAUCUGGGACAGCUCUUUUCAGAUACUUUUUGAGAAAUGAGUGGUACCCUGUCUUCAAAACAGCAAGCACAGAUGCCCUGCAGCUGUCCCU
Molecule: non-coding RNA, 1593 nt
Organism: Microcebus murinus (gray mouse lemur)
Lineage: Eukaryota; Metazoa; Chordata; Mammalia; Primates; Cheirogaleidae
Source: RefSeq, a predicted model, not a curated record